This 769-nucleotide non-coding RNA is filed under the name Trigonopterus sp. 7 AH-2016. The record is from RNAcentral. Lineage: Eukaryota; Metazoa; Arthropoda; Insecta; Coleoptera; Curculionidae.
AAAGAGAAUUUUAACUCUUAUUUAUUGUUUGAGUAAAGAAUAUAUGUAAAUUUUUGUAGGAGAGAAGAGAUUUUAAAUAGAAUUUGGGUUUGUAGUCGCAGUAUAGAGAAUUAUUUAUUUAGGGGACUGAGAAAUAGUUAUUUCAAGAGUAUAGACAAAGUUUGUGCCAGCAGUUGCGGUUAAACAAAUUGUACAAUAAUAAAUGUGUAGGAUGAGAUAAAUGUUUAAAGGAGGGAUUAAGAAGAUUAUUUCAAAGGUGAAAUUAGGAAAUUUUAUUGAGAUUUAGAAAAAUUUAUUUUAUCUAAGAAAACUUUAUUUUAGACUAGGAUUAGAUACCCUAUUAUAGAAGAGGUACAAAAUUACUAGAUUAGUAGAGGAUAUAUUUUUGAAAAUUAUAGAAGUUGGCGGUUUCUUAGUCUAUUCAGAGGAGCCUGUCCUGUAAAUGAUAAUCCACGAUAAAAUUUUCUUGUUUUAGAGAUUUACAUAUCGCCGUAGGUGGAGUAUUUUUUUAGAAGGUUAAUAGUCAAGAUUUUUAAUGAGAGGAUUUCAGGUCAAGAUGUAGUUUAUAGAUAAGGAGAGAUGGGUUACAAUAAAUGGAUUUAUAUGGAUAAAAGUUUGAAAAAGUUUUUGAAGGUGGAUUUGAUAGUAAGUUGAAGAAUUUACUUUAGUUGAUUAGGGCUCUAAGAUAUGCACAUAUCGCCCGUCGCUUUCGUUUAAAAUGAAAUAAGUCGUAACAUAGUAGAUGUACUGGAAAGUGUAUCUAGAAAGA